GAUGAACGCUAGCUACAGGCUUAACACAUGCAAGUCGAGGGGUAACGAGAGGAAAGCUUGCUUUCCUUGUCGACGACCGGCGCACGGGUGAGUAACGCGUAUCCAACCUGCCCCCAACUAAGGAAUAACCUUGCGAAAGUAAGACUAAUACCUUAUAAUUUCCUCAGAUGACAUCUGACGAGGAAUAAAGAUUUAUCGGUUGUGGAUGGGGAUGCGUCUGAUUGGCUUGUUGGCGGGGUAACGGCCCACCAAGGCAACGAUCAGGAGGGGUUCCUAGAGGAAAGACCCCCACAUUGGAACUGAGACACGGUCCAAACUCCUACGGGAAGCAGCAGUGAGGAAUAUUGGUCAAUGGGCGGAAGCCUGAACCAGCCAAGUAGCGUGCAGGAUGACGGCCCUAUGGGUUGUAAACUGCUUUUAUACAGGAAUAAAGUUAGCCACGUGUGGUUAUUUGUAGGUACUGUAUGAAUAAGGACCGGCUAAUUCCGUGCCAGCAGCCGCCGUAA
This 506-nucleotide ribosomal RNA is filed under the name uncultured bacterium. Its description in RNAcentral is "partial 16S ribosomal RNA". It matches the Rfam family "Bacterial small subunit ribosomal RNA", at positions 28 to 523 of the family's 1533-position model. The record is from RNAcentral.